UACGUAGGGUGCAAGCGUUGUCCGGAAUUAUUGGGCGUAAAGAGCUCGUAGGCGGUUUGUCGCGUCUGCUGUAAAAACUCGGGGCUUAACCCCGGGCCUGCAGUGGGUACGGGCAGACUAGAGUGCGGUAGGGGAGACUGGAAUUCCUGGUGUAGCGGUGAAAUGCGUAGAUAUCUGGAGGAACACCGGUGGCGAAGGCGGCAUCCUGGACCAACACUGACACUGAGGAGCGAAAGCCAGGGGAGCAAACGGG
Molecule: ribosomal RNA, 253 nt
Filed under: uncultured bacterium
Lineage: Bacteria
Description: partial 16S ribosomal RNA
Rfam family: Bacterial small subunit ribosomal RNA
Source: RNAcentral